This is a non-coding RNA of Lepisosteus oculatus (spotted gar), 1923 nucleotides long. NCBI's taxonomy places the organism in Eukaryota, Metazoa, Chordata, Actinopteri, Semionotiformes, Lepisosteidae. The record is from RefSeq and is a predicted model, not a curated record.
ACCUGUCCAAGACAGCCUGUGUCUGGACCGGGGGAGGAAAGCGGAGAGACAGCGGAGAAAGUCCAUGUGGCCGCAGACGAUCGUGAGACUCCACACAGGGGACAGAGGGCAACACAGGCCAGAUUCGAACCCAGGACCCCAGAGCUGAGAGUCCGCACCAGCUGCCACACCACCGUGGUGAACUGGCGAAAUGACCCACUCCCCAAUUUCACGUGCUGUCCAGGAAGCGAGGGCUGAGUUGCUGUGGCUCUGUGCUGGAGGUGCUCAUUUCCAUUCCGGUUGUGGAGAUGCUAACAAUCGCAGUCUGUGCCCCUUCGUCACAGCAGGGUGCAGUUCACUCUUCACGGCCGGCCGGUGAAAAGCCCAGACUCCCUCCUCACCACAGUGGAGCUCAGGCCGCGUUCUCUUACCUGAACACACUGCGUACAGCCGACAUGAUCUCGCUAGCUGGCAUGAGACCAUUUUGCAGGGGGAAAGGAGUACUGCAGGAGUAGCUGGUGGGCUGCGUCAGAAGAUACUGUAACAGCAGCAGCACUGAAGCUUCAGGACAACCUGGCCACAAAUCUCUGACCUCCUCUCCCAAGCCUUGACCACUACAUGCUUUACACUACAGCAAGGUGGAGACUCUGCAGGCCCUAUUAGCCCUAGAGAAGGUUACAGGGGGUAACAACGUUGCAAAGCAGAAAGAGAUGCGAGGAACUGACACGCUGGCAGACAGAAACUGAGAGAGAUGUGGAUAUACUGUAGCUUUUUAAAAGCAAGCCGAGCCCCGUUGCUACCAGUGGGCUCCUGCUGCAGAAAUCCAGCUCUAGUCAGAAUCUGUCUGAAUGAUCAACGUAGGGGGGAGCUUCUGGCCAGCCGCACACCUGUCCCUGCCCAGGAAGCUCCCGGCUCUCCUGUGUGUCCAGUUGAACAUGCGCCUUUGGAGUCUGAGAGACCCGUUCACAAGAACUCUUUUUCACAACACACUUCUUUCAGGGCUGGAUCUGAGCCAGAUGGGAGUGCCGUGCAGGAUUCUCCUGUGGCUGGAGUUUCUCCUCUUGGUGCAUCAUUCUCAGACUUUCCUGCGUGUUCCGAGAAGAUCCAGGCCCAGGGGCUUUCAGGAUGCAGCAAUUUCUUUAAGUGGUUAAAGAAUGAUUAAUUAUACCCUGACAUGUUUGGAGAGGUUGUUUUAUAGGACCCUGGGACCUGGAGCAGGGCUGGAUAUGAAGCUGUAUAAACAAACAGUGGAAUUCAAGCCGUUAUUGCAGUGAUUAAACCUUCCUUCCCUGUCUGAUCCCCCUCUGACAUCAGUCCACUGAUGCAGAGCCAAACAUGAUGAAUGUCUGAUUCUGGUUAAAUGCUGACUCCUUUGGGUCAACAUUUAACCAGAACCAGCUGAGAAACAAAGGGUGAGUUGCCAAUUCAUCUUUAAAUACAUUUUUCUUUUUUAAGAACUUUACUUAUUUUUAAACCUGUUGUAAGUAAUCAGCUGGUUAUUCAUCAUUCAUGCCACAUCACUCAUUCCACUUUUUUCAAAAUCUUUUCAGACAGGUCUUCAUUUUAAAAUAAUGUCUUCAUUUUAUUAAGGUUCAAAAUAUAAUGCCUAUUGUCUUAGCUCACCUAUGAGCCAUGUUGUACCCUGAAACACUAAUUAAUCGAAACAUGUCUGGUUUAUGGAAACAUUAAAAGCUCAACUUUAAGUGAUCUCUAGAAGUAUCAGAGAUGCUUGCAAUCUGUCUGUCAGUAUUUACAGUGAUCAAAUAAAAAAGUCCUCUUCCAACACACGGGAACAGAUGAUUGCAGCACCGUGUCCAAGGCAUCACAGGAGUGCUCAUCCGACAUGAGGCAUAACUGCAGAACUAUACAUGUUCAUAUAAGUACAGUGACAGUUACAUACAGCACGGCCUUCUACACAGAGACUUGCUUAUUAGGCUCUGACUG